GCGUUACAAUUUACCUUUACAACAACUUCAAUACCAGCUUUACGAAACUUCAAUAAUUCUAGAGUGUUGAUGCAUUACACUGUACAUGAAGUAAUUGGAAGCAAAACAAAGAUAAUAAACUAUUGUCCCUUAUGGGUUGGUCGAGUUGGUGGAGUAUGUGAGCACGGAGGCUUUUGAUCACGAGUUCGAUUCCCCAACACUUUCUCGAUCGAGUCUGUUGUACAAGGCUUGCUUACUGCGGUUUACCUGACUGACGUGGUUUGCAAGUGAUUGCGUCAACUCAAAGAUUUACCCAGUAUGCAUUCGAAGGAUAGCGGCUGCUGAUUCCUCCGUCUUAAAAAAAUAAUAAUAAUAAUAAUAAUAAACCAUUGGAAUUCAAUACGUUAUUUACCGGAUGCCUUGAUGUUUUAAAAUAAACAUACGGUUUAGCAAUCUCAGUAAUAUCAACUCGAGGAUCGAGGCCCUUUCCAAUGCCAUUGAAAACGGUCAAGAUAAACUGGGUUAAAUAAUAGUAGCAGCUAAAUAUGGCAGUAAAGUAGCUGAAGUACGGUACUUGAAAAUGCCCUUACAACAAAAGUGAAAGUAGCAGGAAAGCGGAGGGGUUGAUAUGUUGCAGUGGCUAAUAAAUUUUCACUUGUUAAAAGGAUCAACAUCCUUUUUUAUUUGUAAUUUUAUUUUUUUUAUUUUUCUUCUUCUUCUUUUUUUUUUUUUUUUUUGGGGAAGCAAAGACAGUUUAAAAAAUUGGUUUUCAUCCAAUGUCAGGGAGAGAUGAAAGGGACUAACAGGAUGACUAAAUGAAAUGGGAAAAAGGAAUAUCAACUAAUUAAAGAUCAAAAACUCGAACACAGACACUAAAUACUCAAUCAAAAAGAGUUUAAAUGCAAAAGUCAACCAAUAGAUUGACAGAAACAAACUAAUCUGUUAGAAAAUCGAAUAUUAUAACGUUAAUGCUGCAUAAAAUAUUCAAUUUCCGCUGCAGCUGAGAAAAAAGUACCAGAAGACAUAAAAGCAUAAUUCAUAGAAGAAAUCUGAAUCCUACCUCUCAAUGUGUCGUGAUUUGAGAAAGUGCAAAAUCUGCACUAUUUAUCGAACUAAACA
RNAcentral lists this long non-coding RNA (1098 nucleotides) under Olea europaea subsp. europaea. The record is from RNAcentral. Lineage: Eukaryota; Viridiplantae; Streptophyta; Magnoliopsida; Lamiales; Oleaceae.